GACCCAAUUGCUGGGUUUGUCCAUUUUCAACCCAACUUGGGUUGUUUUUAACCCAGCAUUUUUUUUAGAGUGUAAUUUUUUCCUUCAAUGAGCUCUAAAGCAAUGAAUGGUGCAGACAUAGAAAUAUGUCUAAAUAAAAAAUUGUUGCCUCGAAAGGCAAUGAUUCGAUUUUUACAGCAAAAGCAACAUUUCUUACAAUUUACAAUCACCUGAAGGCUGAAAUGAAUCAAUGUGCAGUUUUCUUGCAAAAAGCUUGGAAAACUGCCGCCAUUGAAGAAUUCAUUAGCACAGCAAGAGACCCAGCAGAAUUAGGAUUUCUGGGAAAUGUAGUUUUGAGUAACGUCAUUUUAAAGGCAAUGUGGUAAUUCAAAACCUUCUGCCAUCUGGUUCUAUAAUCGCCUCCCACUCACAAAGAGCCUUUUCUCGUCCCUCGGCUCGUGUUUAUUUUGUGUUCUCUCUUUUGUUUACUCUUAUGGCACAGGUACAGGAAUGAGAGAUCGGGUCAGAGAGACAGAGCAAAGAGAGAUGGUCGAGAUAUGUCUGGAAUUCUCCACAUGUGCACUUAACCUGUGCAUGAACUCCAGACUACGGCCAAAUGUUUUUCAGCUAGUCAUGGGAGUAACAUUCUCACCACUAACACAAAAGUUCACUUCAGCCAUAGUGUUGUGAAAUCCACUCUUCUCAGGAAUAUGGGGUUGAUUCCCGUCCUUGGCGGUACGGAGAGCAGCAUUUUUCUCAGCACGGUGUCCGGAGCGGCGAGGCUGACGUCAGUGAGAGGAAGUUCAGGCGGGAUCGAGUCCCGCCGUCGCCAAGACUGAAGCCGCUUGCCGCUGCUGCUGCUGCUGUGUGUCUCUGUAAGUCCGCCCGGGUCCUAGCGCCACAACCAAAGCAACCAUAACACACAGAAACCUGCUAACGCUGUAUACAUUUUGACAAAAGUGCAUCUAUAUACUUGCCGUUGCAUAAAAUCUUGUUGUGGAGAAUUUAUCUAACGAGAUGUGCUUUGGAAAAGUUAUACUUUCAUUUUUAUUCGUCUUAAUCCAUCCAUUUUUAAUUAAACUUUGUGUUUGUUUUA
This is a long non-coding RNA of Megalobrama amblycephala (Wuchang bream), 1075 nucleotides long. RefSeq lists it as uncharacterized. The record is from RefSeq and is a predicted model, not a curated record. The transcript is spliced from 2 exons. NCBI's taxonomy places the organism in Eukaryota, Metazoa, Chordata, Actinopteri, Cypriniformes, Xenocyprididae.